This 84-nucleotide transfer RNA is filed under the name Methanobacteriota archaeon. RNAcentral describes it as "Euryarchaeota archaeon tRNA-Ser". It matches the Rfam family "tRNA". Rfam says of the family: Transfer RNA (tRNA) molecules are approximately 80 nucleotides in length. Their secondary structure includes four short double-helical elements and three loops (D, anti-codon, and T loops). The record is from RNAcentral. RNAcentral also lists the same sequence under 1 other name. Lineage: Archaea; Methanobacteriati; Methanobacteriota.
GCCCAGGUCGCGAAGCUCGGUAUCGCGGCGGUCUUGAAAACCGCUUCCCGAAAGGGAGCGCAGGUUCGAAUCCUGCCCUGGGCG